This is a non-coding RNA of Sander lucioperca (pikeperch), 655 nucleotides long. The record is from the annotation of a RefSeq genome assembly. NCBI's taxonomy places the organism in Eukaryota, Metazoa, Chordata, Actinopteri, Perciformes, Percidae.
UGCAGAUUGAAGCAAAGCUCCUCCUCCUGUCAGUCACUCUCAGUUUCAGUGAUGUAUUAAAUUGCUCCUCCAGCACCUCCUCUCCUCAUCCUCCAAACCCUCUCAUCUGUCAGCAGUAAGAUCACUUUCCAAGUCACAAGGCCAUUCUCAGCACACACUGCCAACAUGCUGGGGACCCUCUGCACUCUCAUCACUGCUCUAACAUGUGUGAGUGGUGUGACCGUGGUGACACAGAAGCCUCCUGUUGUCACGGUGAGGAAAGGAGAGACAGCCACCAUGGACUGUAACCUGGGGACUGUUACAAGCAGUGCUGCUCGCUGGUAUAAACAGAUUCCAGGAGGAGUUCCUCAGUUUGUAUUAUAUUUUAUACAUAGCUCUAGCUCUCCAACCUAUGGCUCUGGUUUCUCCUCUCCAAAAUUCACAUCUAAUCAUCAGUCAACAUCAGAUUAUCGUUUGAUCAUCAAAAAUGUGGAGGAGGGAGACUCAGCAGUCUAUUACUGUCAAACAUGGGACGGCUCUGCUAAGGAGAACGUAUCACAGUGAUUUACACUGUGACAAAAACCUCCUCACAAAUACUUCUGCUUUUUCUCUGACACAUCUUGACUAGGAAAGAAGCCAACAGCCAAUGAUUUCUGUAAAUUGCUCACUUAUAUAU